GGGCGAUUAGUUCAGAGGCAGAACAGGCAAAACUUACCCACAGAAGCUAUGGUCCCCGGUUCGAAUCCGGGAUCGCCCA
RNAcentral lists this transfer RNA (79 nucleotides) under Bacteriophage sp. Its description in RNAcentral is "tRNA-OTHER". It matches the Rfam family "tRNA". Rfam says of the family: Transfer RNA (tRNA) molecules are approximately 80 nucleotides in length. Their secondary structure includes four short double-helical elements and three loops (D, anti-codon, and T loops). Further hydrogen bonds mediate the characteristic L-shaped molecular structure. tRNAs have two regions of fundamental functional importance: the anti-codon, which is responsible for specific mRNA codon recognition, and the 3' end, to which the tRNAs corresponding amino acid is attached (by aminoacyl-tRNA synthetases). tRNAs cope with the degeneracy of the genetic code in two manners: having more than one tRNA (with a specific anti-codon) for a particular amino acid; and 'wobble' base-pairing, i.e. permitting non-standard base-pairing at the 3rd anti-codon position. The record is from RNAcentral.